Molecule: long non-coding RNA, 1524 nt
Organism: Tupaia belangeri chinensis (Chinese tree shrew)
Lineage: Eukaryota; Metazoa; Chordata; Mammalia; Scandentia; Tupaiidae
Exons: 2
Source: RefSeq, a predicted model, not a curated record
AGGAGGAGGAAAAUCCCUGCUAUACAUACGAAGCACAGUAUAAGCCCAAUACAACUGACCAAUCAAAAUUAGUGAAUGCACUGCAUCUCUCUGCAGUGGAGAGAAGCGACAAGGUAGGCUGUCAUUCUGCAAAAGCUGCCCAGAACAGGCUUUCCUCUGAAAAGCAGUGCCGUUCCUUUUCAGAAAGACUGAAUCUAAAUGUUGUCUCUGGAGAGAAGAAUGUUAAAUUACUUUCAUUAUGUAUUUUCAGAUGCUUAUUGAUUCCACAGUAGGAAGAGUGAGACUGCAGCAGCCUCUAGGCAGCACUACAUGUUCCAUACAUUAGCAGUACUGCUGAAACAAUGGCACAGGAUAGACACAUAUUUUCAUUAAGGUCAUUUUCCGAGAGAUGUUUAUGACCCUCUUUCCCCAGUUCUCUACUGACAAGUGAACAAAAUGAAUCAAUCAAAACUGGAAACGCUUCAACUACAUCAAGAAUUUAUCAAAUCUUUAGCAGAGGUCCAGAGCAGCUAACACAGUAUUCAUACCUGAAAAUAUGAAGAAUACAACUGACUGACCAUCUCCCUAGCUGUCUGAGCCACGAACUGCACGAAAUUCUUCUAACACUUGAUUUUAAGACUUUAAGGAGUUAAAAAUCAGGGAACAGGACUACAUUACUGCUGGACUGUAACAAAUCGAGAGUAUCCUAAGAAGAUGCUACAUAAGAUAACCACAAAAAGAAAAACAAUAUAACUAUAAAAGCCUGAAAACAAGAUGGUGAACAUUUUCAAAGGGAGAGUUAGACAUGCUAAAAUUGUGGAAGCUACGAUUCUUGAAGAAACAAUAAAACAUGAAUUUCUAAAAGGAGAAUGGUAUACUUUACCGGCAAGUAAAAUGAAGCUGUACCAAGUAUUUUCUGCACUAAAUAUCCAGCUAUAUUAAUUGAUAUGACUAAUGGAUUUUUUCCAUCUGAGUUUUAUGAGCAAUUAUGUAUAUUCUUCUAAUGAAUAUAAACCAAAUUAAAUAGCAGAUGGCUUUUAUCAAAAGAACGUGGACUGGAUUUAUAAUAUAAGGCAAGUUAUGUGAUCAAGAAAUCAUUAAAUCAUGAGGACUGCUAUAGAAACUGAUUUACAAUGGUAACAGAAGGAUGUCUAAAUACAUUUUAGAAGCUAGAAACCUUAUGUUUCCUUCUUUGUUUUUACACAUUUUGGAAAAUAAAGAGACACUAUCCUAUAUCCCCUCAAAGGGAAACAUAAUUCUUAUCAUUUGAGGAAGUUGCUCUUGGUCGUGACUUUCUAAGGCAAAAUAAAUACAAAUACUAUGUACUGUUCAUUAGAAAUCCAUCAGCCAACUAAAUCUCAUAAUUCAUACAGUUGAAGUAUUGGAGAGAAAAUGAAAGAAUUCCUACAAGACAUGAAAUAAAACACAGCUACUUCACUGUUGUCAGGUAAAAAUUCAUGUGAAAAUCUGUCAAUGAUAUCAUGUAUCAAUUUGUGAAAAAUUGCCAUAGUGAGCCAAAAGGCCCAUAAGGCAACAGCAAACAGG